CCUACGGGUGGCAGCAGUGAGGAAUAUUGGUCAAUGGGCGCAAGCCUGAACCAGCCAAGUAGCGUGAAGGAUGACUGCCCUACGGGUUGUAAACUUCUUUUAUAAAGGAAUAAAGUGAGGCACGUUUGCCGUGUUGUAUGUACUUUAUGAAUAAGGAUCGGCUAACUCCGUGCCAGCAGCCGCGGUAAUACGGAGGAUCCGAGCGUUAUCCGGAUUUAUUGGGUUUAAAGGGAGCGUAGAUGGGUUGUUAAGUCAGUUGUGAAAGUUUGGGGCUCAACCGUAAAAUUGCAAUUGAUACUGGCAGUCUUGAGUACAGUUGAGGUAGGCGGAAUUCGUGGUGUAGCGGUGAAAUGCGUAGAUAUUAGGAGGAACACCAGUGGCGAAGGCGGCUUACUGGACUGUAACUGACGUUGAGGCUCGAAAGCGUGGGGAGCAAACAGGAUUAGAUACCCCGGUAGUC
RNAcentral lists this ribosomal RNA (460 nucleotides) under uncultured bacterium. RNAcentral describes it as "partial 16S ribosomal RNA". It matches the Rfam family "Bacterial small subunit ribosomal RNA", at positions 338 to 795 of the family's 1533-position model. The record is from RNAcentral.